RNAcentral lists this ribosomal RNA (253 nucleotides) under uncultured bacterium. Its description in RNAcentral is "partial 16S ribosomal RNA". It matches the Rfam family "Bacterial small subunit ribosomal RNA", at positions 524 to 776 of the family's 1533-position model. The record is from RNAcentral.
UACGAAGGGGGCUAGCGUUGUUCGGAUUAACUGGGCGUAAAGCGCGCGUAGGCGGGUUUUUAAGUCAGGGGUGAAAUCCCAAGGCUCAACCUUGGAACUGCCUUUGAUACUGGAAAUCUUGAGUCCGGGAGAGGUGAGUGGAACUGCGAGUGUAGAGGUGAAAUUCGUAGAUAUUCGCAAGAACACCAGUGGCGAAGGCGGCUCACUGGCCCGAUACUGACGCUGAGGCACGAAAGCGUGGGGAGCAAACAGG